UAGGGAAUCUUCCACAAUGGGCGCAAGCCUGAUGGAGCAACACCGCGUGAGUGAAGAAGGGUUUCGGCUCGUAAAGCUCUGUUGUUAAAGAAGAACACGUAUGAGAGUAACUGUUCAUACGUUGACGGUAUUUAACCAGAAAGCCACGGCUAACUACGUACCAG
This 164-nucleotide ribosomal RNA is filed under the name uncultured bacterium. Its description in RNAcentral is "partial 16S ribosomal RNA". It matches the Rfam family "Bacterial small subunit ribosomal RNA", at positions 355 to 511 of the family's 1533-position model. The record is from RNAcentral.